UUAAGAUGAGAACUGAGAACUAAUCUCAGCCCUCAGAUCAAUUCAAUCAACGAUCAUAAUUUCACCCGACCAAAUACAAAAAAUAAGGGCAAAUUAGUAACUUUUCAGCUUCAAAUGACCUUCCUCUUCCCACGUCGAUUUUCAUAAUUCUUUCUCUCUCCUCCUUCGGUUUUCUCUUUCUUCCCGCAACUUCUCGCCAUUUUCGAUCUCUCUCCUCCGUUCUUUAUGUCUCUUCUGCCAAAAUUUGUACAUUCAAUACCUUCAUCGUUCUUGCAAAUUAGUAAUUUGGUUCUGAGUUCCAAGGGCAUGGGAGGAAACUCAAGUCUGUUACACCAAAAUCCUCGCAACAAAUUGGAUAAGCAGAAGGGCCACUCAAAAAGCAUGUUCUGAAGUUGAGUAUAGCGAAGGCCAGGCAAGCUUCUAGGACGAAAAACAUCAUUAAGGGUCCAAGCUUGACUAUUGCUAUUGUUUCGAUACUGACUGUUACCACCAGAAGAUUUUUAUUUCUGAAGUGUGUGUAUCGUUUUCUGCUGUCAAAGCAUAUGCCGCAGCUUCCCAAUCAUCAAAGCAUUUGUCAUCACCAAGAAUUGAACACAACUAAAAUCAACACAAACUCAUCACCAAGCUUCAUAGGUCUGCAUUGCUGGUGGUGGUUACUGAUAUCUAAAAUAGUAGUCUUUUUUCGGGGAUCCCAACUUGUAGGAUUAACAUCUCAAAUUUGGACUUUUUUCAAGCAUGUGUGAUAUUGUUUGCUAGUGUGGUCUGUUUGGUCUUGUCAGCAGGCUCUCAGUUCAGUUGUGGUUCGGUGCUGCUUGUUGUUUUGGGUUGGUUUGUUGUCCUCCACGGUCUCCCUAGCCUGAGCAUCACCAGCUUUCCUCAUGGCUGAUUCAUGUUCACUAGGGUUGUUCUAGAAGGCUUUUACCAUUUACUUCAGCUUUCCUUAUUGAUGACUUUAUUUUUGAAUAAAUUAUAUUUACUUUUAAGAGUUAUGUAUCUACUUUUGAAUUGAACAGAAGGAGCAAUGUGAGAUUGCCGUACUUGUGUACUCUAUGGUUACCUAACACUA
Long non-coding RNA from Spinacia oleracea (spinach), 1066 nucleotides. RefSeq lists it as uncharacterized. The record is from RefSeq and is a predicted model, not a curated record. NCBI's taxonomy places the organism in Eukaryota, Viridiplantae, Streptophyta, Magnoliopsida, Caryophyllales, Amaranthaceae. The transcript is spliced from 2 exons.